Molecule: unclassified non-coding RNA, 281 nt
Filed under: Hevea brasiliensis (rubber tree)
Lineage: Eukaryota; Viridiplantae; Streptophyta; Magnoliopsida; Malpighiales; Euphorbiaceae
Source: RNAcentral
CACACUUGCUGGUGUGAGGGGUCGGAUGCGGCAGGUGGCUCCCAACCUACUGCACGUAGAGGAGAGGGAACCUUCGACAGUGUCUGCUGAGCUGAAGCCUAAAGUCACUCGCCAAAUGAGUUUGGCUGCUUUUGGCACCACUGUGGAGAACUUUUAUAUGACGGAUGCUAUCACUAGAGCAUCAAAGAUCAUGGCGCAGUGCAGUGCGUCACUUCUGAAGAAGUGAAGCUUCAGCUGAAACAGGAAAUUAUGUUGGAGAGUAUUGUUGGAUUUCCGGAACG